GGGGGCGUCCUGGUUUCGACGGAUGGUCUGAGGUGGAGGCUGCAUGCCGCGGACGAUGCGUCACCGCGUAACAAUCGUGUCAAACCAUAACUGCGAACUCUAACGAGCUUGCUCUCGCGGCCUAAGCGCCACGACGUGCCCCCGGUGAAGUCUGUGAACCGGGCGCGCGACUACUUACAGGCUGGCCUGACGGGCGGGCGACCGGCCCCAAGGCGAGACUAACAGGACGCUGGGAGUGGAGGAUGCUGUGAGCCGCAGCCGCCACUUCGAGACCAAAUGACUCACUACGCAUGGAGACGCUUUCAUUGAUGGCGAUUCGGACAGGGGUUCAACUCCCCUCGCCUCCACCA
RNAcentral lists this transfer-messenger RNA (350 nucleotides) under Roseimicrobium gellanilyticum. Its description in RNAcentral is "Standard tmRNA". It matches the Rfam family "transfer-messenger RNA". From Rfam's summary of the family: Bacterial tmRNA, also known as 10Sa RNA or SsrA, is named for its dual tRNA and mRNA-like properties. The record is from RNAcentral. Lineage: Bacteria; Pseudomonadati; Verrucomicrobiota; Verrucomicrobiia; Verrucomicrobiales; Verrucomicrobiaceae.